UACGUAGGGUGCAGGCGUUAAUCGGAAUUACUGGGCGUAAAGCGUGCGCAGGCGGUUUGCUAAGACAGGUGUGAAAUCCCCGGGCUUAACCUGGGAACUGCGCUUGUAACUGGCAAGCUAGAGUGUGGCAGAGGGGGGUGGAAUUCCAGGUGUAGCGGUGAAAUGCGUAGAUAUCUGGAGGAACACCGGUGGCGAAGGCGACAUCCUGGACCGGUAUUGACGCUGAGGCGCGAAAGCCAGGGGAGCAAACGGG
This 253-nucleotide ribosomal RNA is filed under the name uncultured bacterium. RNAcentral describes it as "partial 16S ribosomal RNA". It matches the Rfam family "Bacterial small subunit ribosomal RNA", at positions 524 to 776 of the family's 1533-position model. The record is from RNAcentral.